AUUGAACGCUGGCGGCAUGCUUUACACAUGCAAGUCGAACGGUAACAGGUCUUCGGAUGCUGACGAGUGGCGAACGGGUGAGUAAUACAUCGGAACGUGCCUAGUAGUGGGGGAUAACUACUCGAAAGAGUAGCUAAUACCGCAUGAGAUCUACGGAUGAAAGCAGGGGACCUUCGGGCCUUGUGCUACUAGAGCGGCUGAUGGCAGAUUAGGUAGUUGGUGGGGUAAAGGCUUACCAAGCCUGCGAUCUGUAGCUGGUCUGAGAGGACGACCAGCCACACUGGGACUGAGACACGGCCCAGACUCCUACGGGAGGCAGCAGUGGGGAAUUUUGGACAAUGGGCGAAAGCCUGAUCCAGCAAUGCCGCGUGCAGGAUGAAGGCCCUCGGGUUGUAAACUGCUUUUGUACGGAACGAAAAGCCUGGGGCUAAUAUCCCCGGGUCAUGACGGUACCGUAAGAAUAAGCACCGGCUAACUACGUGCCAGCAGCCGCGGUAAUACGUAGGGUGCAAGCGUUAAUCGGAAUUACUGGGCGUAAAGCGUGCGCAGGCGGUUUUGUAAGACAGUGGUGAAAUCCCCGGGCUCAACCUGGGAACUGCCAUUGUGACUGCAAAGCUAGAGUGCGGCAGAGGGGGAUGGAAUUCCGCGUGUAGCAGUGAAAUGCGUAGAUAUGCGGAGGAACACCGAUGGCGGAGGCAAUCCCCUGGGCCUGCACUGACGCUCAUGCACGAAAGCGUGGGGAGCAAA
RNAcentral lists this ribosomal RNA (747 nucleotides) under uncultured bacterium. Its description in RNAcentral is "bacterial SSU rRNA". It matches the Rfam family "Bacterial small subunit ribosomal RNA", at positions 28 to 772 of the family's 1533-position model. The record is from RNAcentral.